Molecule: ribosomal RNA, 507 nt
Filed under: uncultured glomeraceous AM fungus
Lineage: Eukaryota; Fungi; Glomeromycota; Glomeromycetes; Glomerales; Glomeraceae
Description: SSU rRNA
Rfam family: Eukaryotic small subunit ribosomal RNA
Source: RNAcentral
UCCAAUAGCGUAUAUUAAAGUUGUUGCAGUUAAAAAGCUCGUAGUUGAAUUUCGGGGUUAGUAGGUUGGUCAUGCCACUGGUAUGCACUGGCCUCACUGAUUCCUCCUUCCUGAUGAGCCGUAAUGCCAUUAAUUUGGUGUUGCGGGGAAUUUGGACUGUUACUUUGAAAAAAUUAGAGUGUUUAAAGCAAGCUAACGCUUGAAUACAUUAGCAUGGAAUAAUGAAAUAGGACGUUCGAUCCUAUUUUGUUGGUUUCUAGGAUUGACGUAAUGAUUAAUAGGGAUAGUUGGGGGCAUUAGUAUUCAAUUGUCAGAGGUGAAAUUCUUGGAUUUAUUGAAGACUAACUACUGCGAAAGCAUUUGCCAAGGAUGUUUUCAUUAAUCAAGAACGAAUGUUAGGGGAUCGAAGACGAUCAGAUACCGUCGUAGUCUUAACCAUAAACUAUGCCGACUAGGGAUCGGAUGAUGUUAAUUUUUUAAUGACUCAUUCGGCGCCUUACGGGAAAC